ACAUUAAGGACUCGCUCUAACCACUGAGCUAGCUAGAC
Molecule: transfer RNA, 38 nt
Filed under: Moniliophthora perniciosa FA553
Lineage: Eukaryota; Fungi; Basidiomycota; Agaricomycetes; Agaricales; Marasmiaceae
Description: tRNA-Ile
Source: RNAcentral